RNAcentral lists this ribosomal RNA (468 nucleotides) under uncultured bacterium. RNAcentral's name for it is "partial 16S ribosomal RNA". It matches the Rfam family "Bacterial small subunit ribosomal RNA", at positions 28 to 507 of the family's 1533-position model. The record is from RNAcentral.
GACGAACGCUGGCGGCGUGCUUAACACAUGCAAGUCGAACGGAAAGGCCCUGCCUGGGGUGCGUGAUCGACUGGCGAGCGGGUAAGAAACAGGUGAGUAACCUGCCCUUGACUGUGGGGUAAGUUCAGGAAACUGGAGCUAAGACCGGAUAGUAUCUCCUCCUGCGUUGUGGGGGUUGGAAAUUUUCGGCGGGUGGGGAGGGACGGGCGGCUGGUCAGCUUGUUGGUGGGGUAGUGGCUUACCUAGGCAUUGACGGGUAGCCGGCCUGAGGGGGUGACCGGCCAGACUGGGACGGAGAUACGGCCCGGACUGCUACGGGCGGGAGCAGUGGGGAAUAUAGAAUGCUGGGCGGAAGCAUGACGCAGGAAGGGCGCGUGCGGGAGGAAGGCCUGCGGGUUGUAAGUCGAUUUCGCCUGUGACGAAGGGAGAGUGACGGUAAUGGGAGAAGAAGCACCGGCCAACUACGUG